Non-coding RNA from Caerostris extrusa, 113 nucleotides. Lineage: Eukaryota; Metazoa; Arthropoda; Arachnida; Araneae; Araneidae. The record is from the annotation of a GenBank genome assembly.
UCGGCCAUAUCAUGCUGAAUAUACCGGUUCUCGUUAGAUCACCGAAGCCAAGCAUCAUUGGGCGCGGUCAGUACUUGGGGGUGAGUGACCACCUGGGAACACCGAGUGCCGUU